Molecule: ribosomal RNA, 253 nt
Filed under: uncultured bacterium
Lineage: Bacteria
Description: partial 16S ribosomal RNA
Rfam family: Bacterial small subunit ribosomal RNA
Source: RNAcentral
UACGGAGGGUGCAAGCGUUAAUCGGAAUUACUGGGCGUAAAGCGUGCGUAGGCGGCUCUUUAAGUCGGGGGUGAAAUCCUGGAGCUCAACUCCAGAACUGCCUUCGAUACUGAAGAGCUCGAGUCCGGGAGAGGUGAGUGGAACUGCGAGUGUAGAGGUGAAAUUCGUAGAUAUUCGCAAGAACACCAGUGGCGAAGGCGGCUCACUGGCCCGGUACUGACGCUGAGGUGCGAAAGCGUGGGGAGCAAACAGG